RNAcentral lists this ribosomal RNA (518 nucleotides) under uncultured bacterium. Its description in RNAcentral is "bacterial SSU rRNA". It matches the Rfam family "Bacterial small subunit ribosomal RNA", at positions 8 to 521 of the family's 1533-position model. The record is from RNAcentral.
AGAGUUUGAUCCUGGCUCAGAUUGAACGCUGGCGGCAUGCUUUACACAUGCAAGUCGAACGGCAGCACGGGGGCAACCUUGGUGGCGAGUGGCGAACGGGUGAGUAAUACAUCGGAACGUAUCCUUGAGUGGGGGAUAACGCAGCGAAAGUUGUGCUAAUACCGCAUGAGCUCUGAGGAGGAAAGUGGGGGACCGUAAGGCCUCACGCUGAAGGGGCGGCCGAUGUCCGAUUAGCUAGUUGGUGAGGUAAAGGCUCACCAAGGCUUCGAUCGGUAGCUGGUCUGAGAGGAUGAUCAGCCACACUGGGACUGAGACACGGCCCAGACUCCUACGGGAGGCAGCAGUGGGGAAUUUUGGACAAUGGGGGCAACCCUGAUCCAGCCAUGCCGCGUGAGUGAAGAAGGCCUUCGGGUUGUAAAGCUCUUUCGUGAGGGAAGAAACGGCCAUAGUGAAUAGCUGUGGUUACUGACGGUACCUCAAGAAGAAGCACCGGCUAACUACGUGCCAGCCGCCGCGGU